This 463-nucleotide ribosomal RNA is filed under the name uncultured bacterium. Its description in RNAcentral is "bacterial SSU rRNA". It matches the Rfam family "Bacterial small subunit ribosomal RNA", at positions 331 to 792 of the family's 1533-position model. The record is from RNAcentral.
CCAGACUCCUACGGGAGGCAGCAGUGAGGAAUAUUGGUCAAUGGUCGGGAGACUGAACCAGCCAAGCCGCGUGAGGGAGGAAGGUACAGAGUAUCGUAAACCUCUUUUGUCAGGGAACAAAGACUGGGACGCGUCCCCGGAUGAGUGUACCUGAAGAAAAAGCAUCGGCUAACUCCGUGCCAGCAGCCGCGGUAAUACGGAGGAUGCGAGCGUUAUCCGGAUUUAUUGGGUUUAAAGGGUGCGCAGGCGGUCUGUUAAGUCAGCGGUCAAAGCCCGGGGCUCAACCCCGGCCUGCCGUCGGAACUGGGCGCCUUGAGUGGGCGAGAAGUAUGCGGAAUGCGUGGUGUAGCGGUGAAAUGCAUAGAUAUCACGCAGAACCCCGAUUGCGAAGGCAGCAUACCGGCGCCCUACUGACGCUGAGGCACGAAAGUGCGGGUAUCGAACAGGAUUAGAUACCCUUGUA